CCCAGGGCCUCUGACCUUAGGUGACGCUCGGACGCUGCAGAAAAGCUGCGUGCUAUAGCCAGGAGUGGAGGUACGGUCAGCCAGCGGCUGGGUGAAGGAGGGCGCUUCUGAGAAGUCUCGCUCAGUAAACUCUCUAGGUUUGGCAGUGAUAGCUAGGUUCAGGGGAGAAUUGAGGUUAUAGGGGUGCAGAGGGCUUCAGAAGACUGGCCUCAACCCUAAACGUUGGGAUGCUCAACCUGGUCAACGUGUGAAGACACCAGAGAAAGCCUAGCUGAGCAGGGCUGAGGCUGAUCGGAGGUGAACGGAGAGGAGUGGGUGGGAAAACUCGAGUCUUGCGGCAGGAGGUGAACAUCACAUUUCCAUUUCUGCUUGCCUCUGCCACCCGAGUGGCUUUCCUUUUUAAAUACAAAAUGCUCAGGGCUGUGAUGCUCUGGCUGAUGUAAAAGCGGCUCCUAGGGUGAGUGAGAUGGCUCAGCAGGUGAGGGCGUUUGCCACCAAGUUUACCGCCCUGAGUUCAGUUCCUGGGACCCAUAUGGUAGAAGGAGGGAACGGACAUGUCCUUAGACGUACACAUGCACGUCCGCAUGUGAACACACACUCACACACCAAUAAAUGUCAUUAAAAAGAAUAAUAAUAAUAAAGUGUGGCUUCCAGGG
This 656-nucleotide long non-coding RNA is filed under the name Rattus norvegicus (Norway rat). RNAcentral describes it as "long non-coding RNA NONRATT008718". The record is from RNAcentral. Lineage: Eukaryota; Metazoa; Chordata; Mammalia; Rodentia; Muridae.